Molecule: long non-coding RNA, 312 nt
Filed under: Olea europaea (common olive)
Lineage: Eukaryota; Viridiplantae; Streptophyta; Magnoliopsida; Lamiales; Oleaceae
Description: long non-coding RNA (OEUR_LNC008573)
Source: RNAcentral
UACAUUGUCAAUUUACGUCAUAUCCAAGUACCCAUAUCCAAAAAUUGAAAACCAACCUUAAAGCCACACAGAUACCUGACUCUGUGGAACAUAAAACUUCCAUGGUCUAGGUUGUAAGUCCUACCCCAUAAUAACUGUGAGAAAAUUAAUGCCCCAUUUAUUGAAUCAGUAAAAUCUAUAAUGCCUAGACAAUAUAAACAGUAGUUAUAAUUUACAGUAUGUAUUAGCUAAGAUUUUUAAACCUCUGGACAUGGUAAAACAGUAUUCAACUAAGGCACUAUUACACAAUAUAGAAAACCCAGAGAGGUAGAC